GAUGAACGCUAGCGGCGUGCUUUAUGCAUGCAAGUCGAACGGUCUCGAUUUAUCGAGAUAGUGGCGAACGGGUGAGUAACGCGUAAGUAACUUGCCCUUAAGUAGGGGAUAACUCCGAGAAAUUGGAGCUAAUACCGCAGUGGUGGUGGAGGUAAGGCUUCAUCACUAAAGCCUUCGGGUGCUUAAGGAGGGGCUUGCGUCCGAUUAGCUAGUUGGUAGAGUAACGGUCUACCAAGGCGAUGAUCGGUAGCUGGUUUGAGAGGACGGCCAGCCACACUGGGACUGCGACACGGCCCAGACUCCUACGGGAGGCAGCAGCAAGGAAUUUUGUGCAAUGGGCGAAAGCCUGACACAGCGACGCCGCGUGGGGGAUGAAGGCCUUCGGGUUGUAAACCCCUUUUAUCAGGGAAGAAUAAUGACGGUACCUGAGGAAUAAGCCUCGGCUAACUACGUGCCAGCAGCCGCGGUAAUACGUAGGAGGCAAGCGUUAUCCGGAUUUACUGGGCGUAAAGCGGGCGCAGGCGGCCUUUCAAGUCGGAUGUAAAAUCUCCCGGCUCAACUGGGAGGGAUCAUUCGAUACUGUUGGGCUAGAGGACAGCAGAGGGAGGUGGAAUUCCCGGUGGAGUGGUGAAAUGCGUAGAUAUCGGGAGGAACACCAGUGGCGAAGGCGGCCUCCUGGGCUGUUUCUGACGCUGAGGCCCAAAAGCGUGGGGAGCGAACAGGAUCAGAUACCCUGGUAGUCCACGCCCUAAACGAUGGACACUAGGUAUGGGGAGUAUUGACCCUCUCCGUGCCGAAGCUAACGCUUUAAGUGUCCCGCCUGGGGACACGACCGCAAGGUU
Molecule: ribosomal RNA, 842 nt
Filed under: uncultured Chloroflexota bacterium
Lineage: Bacteria; Bacillati; Chloroflexota
Description: bacterial SSU rRNA
Rfam family: Bacterial small subunit ribosomal RNA
Source: RNAcentral